This 497-nucleotide ribosomal RNA is filed under the name uncultured bacterium. Its description in RNAcentral is "partial 16S ribosomal RNA". It matches the Rfam family "Bacterial small subunit ribosomal RNA", at positions 28 to 507 of the family's 1533-position model. The record is from RNAcentral.
GAUGAACGCUGGCGGCGUGCCUAACACAUGCAAGUCGAGCGAAAAGACGAGGAGCUUGCUCCUCUGACGUUAGCGGCGGACGGGUGAGUAACACGUGGAUAACCUACCUAUAAGACUGGGAUAAUUUCGGGAAACCGGAGCUAAUACCGGAUAAUAUAUUGAACCGCAUGGUUCAAUAGUGAAAGACGGUUUUGCUGUCACUUAUAGAUGGAUCCGCGCCGCAUUAGCUAGUUGGGAAGGUAACGGCUUACCAAGGCAACGAUGCGUAGCCGACCUGAGAGGGAGGACCGGCACCCUGGGACUGAGGAGCGGUCCCGACACCUGCCGGGAGCAACGGUGAGGAAUCCUACGGGAGGGGGCGAAGGCUAACCGGGGCAACGCGGGGAAGGUGUGGAAGGUCUCCGAUUCGGAAACUAUGUUGUUUGGGGAGGAGCAAAGUGUUAUUAACCUGGGACGUUUUGACCGUACCUUAAUAAAAAGCCCCGGCUAACUUCGUG